RNAcentral lists this ribosomal RNA (371 nucleotides) under uncultured bacterium. Its description in RNAcentral is "partial 16S ribosomal RNA". It matches the Rfam family "Bacterial small subunit ribosomal RNA", at positions 29 to 319 of the family's 1533-position model. The record is from RNAcentral.
AACGAACGCUGGCGGCAGGCCUAACACAUGCAAGUCGAGCGCCCCCUUUUAGAGGGCAGAAAUCAGAGAUCGGAAAUCAGAGAUCGGAAUUGAGCGGGGCAGCGAUGCCGGCGCGCGUUCUGAUUUUUGAUAUCUCAUUUCCGAUCUCUGCCUUCUGAUGGGGGAGCGGGCGGACGGGUGAGUAACGCGUGGGAAUUUUCCNCAAGGUACGAACAACUCAGGGAAACUUGGGCUAAUACCGUAUGAUGCAGAGAUGCCAAAGAUUUAUCGCCUUGGGAUAAGCCCGCGUCAGAUUAGGUAGUUGGUGGGUAAUGGCCUACCAAGCCUGCGAUCUGUAGCUGGUCUGAGAGGACGAUCAGCCACACUGGGAC